AGCCGUCGGUGCACGAGAAGCCUUUUCUGCUUGUUGGAGUUUGAAUGAAGUUGCCUUCACUAUGACAAGCAAACACUUAUUUUAAUCAUGAUUUAAUAUUAUGAAGGAGAAACUCUUAAAGAGUUCUGACUGAUUUUCCACAGAGGAAUCGUUAUUCUAAAUCAAAAAGGUUGAAAACCGAGGACUCUGAUGACAAGUUACAGCAGUGGAGGAUUUUUUAACCCAGCCUACCAUGACAGCGAGACCUUGGAAAUCGAUAGAAGGUCUCCCAUUAAAACCCGUCACAAUAAUCCCUACGAUAGGGUAGACCCAGCAUGGCAGCCAGAUGUGACCAGGAGCACAGGGGGGGAACAUCUGGAUCACUGGCAGGAGGAAAACAGCUGGAGGGGAGGAGGAAACUUCCCCAUGAGCGUCUUCUCCACAGCCUCCAAUCCAUCAUGGCAGCACAACCACAGUGAGUGGAAGGACUUCAACUUAAUAUGUGACGUUAAAACUAUGAUCUCACCUGAUUUGUUCUCAUCUGUUUAAAAAUCAGGUGCCGCUACAUUUCAACCAGACUGUCAGUACGAUGGAUUUCCAACUGCUCGGUUUCCUUCCUCAUUUUCAGGUGAUCAAAUGUUAAGACCAAUAGAAAAAUGUGCCUUCAGACAUUUUCUUUCAAAGUCACAAAAAGAUCCUAUCUAGAGUAAAAAUUAUAAUUUCUCACACAAGAGAGUAAAACGCACACCUGCGUAGCUACGAGACGGUGUCGCAAAAACAGCCAUAAAGCAAAAAUGAUUACUCUCGUUCUGACACAGUUUCAUUUUACAUAGUUUUGUAGUUGAUCGCAAACAGUUUGAGAUACACUUUUAUUGUAUAUUAGUUUUAAAAAUAAUAUAUAUAUAUAUAUAUAUAUAUAUAUAUAUAUAUCCAUAAACUAAUGGACCACUCGGGGUCGCUCAAGGACCACCAGUGGUCCGCAGACCACACUUUUAGAAAGGCUAAUUAACGUAAAGCAAAGUUUAUGUGCAAAGAAAUUAUGUUUUGUGAUUUAUUUAUUUAUUUUUUUCCGCUCUCGUUCUUACUGAAGGGUGAUUAAACAGUUAUUUAUAGACCCACACUCUGAGCCAUACUUUGAAUCUGAUCAUCUCCAAGUGUUGAUUAUUCUGCUGCUGAUUGAAACCUUAACUCUCUCUGAUCAUUUCUCUCUUCUUUUUAAGUAGAGACAGCAACAUCUGUUCAACACACCACUGUGUUACAUAAAUGUCAACAUAGAAGUACAUAAAUGAUGCAUAUGGCCAUAAACCAUUGCAAAGAUGGCCAUGACGAGAUCAACUCUAAGUGUGGAGGUGGAUGUUGGAUUUAAUGUCACAGAUGAUUAUUAUAUUCAUAUAUUACUAUCAAAACUAAAAGAAAAUCUAGCUAGACAGAAAAUACCAUAGAGGAAGACUGAGUUAGCGCAGAAAUAAUAAUUUGAAAUUGUAGAAAAGUUGAGUCUGAGUCUGUAUAACGCAUUAUUGAAUUUACACAAAGUGAGGCAGCAAUACUU
This 1528-nucleotide long non-coding RNA is filed under the name Gouania willdenowi (blunt-snouted clingfish). RNAcentral's name for it is "lncRNA (ENSGWIG00000021901.1)". Lineage: Eukaryota; Metazoa; Chordata; Actinopteri; Blenniiformes; Gobiesocidae. The record is from RNAcentral.